GCCAAUACACCACACUAACGCAAUCCACUCACGAAAACACCACAUACUAAUACACAAAACCCUACUCCACCCAUGAAGACAUCACACAGCCAUACACCCAAGUCGCUACACGCCGCAAGAUGACAUUACCCAACGAUCUUUCCGAACUGACCAAGAACCAAAGACUCAUCAGAUGUUGUCAUCGCCCUUGCCUCUGCACCAUAUGGCAGAACGGGAAUACGGAGUGACUACCUUAUCCAUACAAAAGUGAGUUCGGACAACAAUGAGCAAACAAGUGCUAGGGGCGUAAACCAGAGCCAAAGAGAGACAAACGAGCACCAGCACUUUACAGCCUAGCUGCCCAACACUACAACUAGAUUAAAAAGGAGGUACCAACGAGAUAAGCAAAGCAAUAAGUCGGAUUUCGCCCGAGUCGUACAUGUGUUGACCAAAUUAACACCCUACAUAUCAUUGACGAGUUAAAGGACAAAUUGCAGUCGACUCUUCAACUCUAGAAAUGGAGGAAAUCCUGAGAAGCUUAAUGCCUAUGUAGCUUGUCGGUGGCUUUGUACAGAGUUCCACAGAUGCAAGCGCAGAGAAAUCUCACAUAUGCCGUUGACAUUCGCUUAUUGCCUGUAAAACACUCCGACAUGCGAGCAAAAUGUAAGGAUCUACACGCUGUGUCGCGUAGGAUUGGUUCAAAAAUUAACAACGA
Long non-coding RNA from Bactrocera neohumeralis, 694 nucleotides. RefSeq lists it as uncharacterized. NCBI's taxonomy places the organism in Eukaryota, Metazoa, Arthropoda, Insecta, Diptera, Tephritidae. The record is from RefSeq and is a predicted model, not a curated record. The transcript is spliced from 2 exons.